Molecule: ribosomal RNA, 450 nt
Filed under: uncultured bacterium
Lineage: Bacteria
Description: bacterial SSU rRNA
Rfam family: Bacterial small subunit ribosomal RNA
Source: RNAcentral
ACUCCUACGGGAGGCAGCAGUGGGAAUAUUGCGCAAUGGGGGAAACCCUGACGCAGCCAUGCCGCGUGAGUGAAGAAGGUCUUCGGAUUGUAAAGCUCUUUCAAACGGGGAAGAUGAUGACGGUACCCGUAGAAGAAGCCCCGGCUAACCUUCGUUGCCAGCAGCCGCGGUAAUACGAAGGGGCUAGCGUUGUUCGGAAUUACUGGGCGUAAAGGGCGUGUAGGCGGUCUGAUCAGUCAGAGGUGAAAAGCCCUGGGCUCAACCUAGGAAUUGCCUUUGUACUGUCAGNCUAGAGUUCGGGAGAGGGUAGUGGAAUUCCCAGUGUAGAGGUGAAAUUCGUAGAUAUUGGGAAGAACACCAGUGGCGAAGGCGGCUACCUGGACCGAUACUGACGCUGAGGCGCGAAAAGCGUGGGGAGCAAACAGGAUUAGAUACCCUGGUAGGCUCUGC